CAUGCCGUAAACGAUGUCAACUAGCCGUUGGGGACCUUGAGUCUUUAGUGGCGCAGCUAACGCGAUAAGUUGACCGCCUGGGGAGUACGGCCGCAAGGUUAAAACUCAAAUGAAUUGACGGGGGCCCGCACAAGCGGUGGAGUAUGUGGUUUAAUUCGAUGCAACGCGAAGAACCUUACCUGGCCUUGACAUAUCCGGAAUCCUGCAGAGAUGCGGGAGUGCCUUCGGGAAUCGGAAUACAGGUGC
Molecule: ribosomal RNA, 246 nt
Filed under: uncultured bacterium
Lineage: Bacteria
Also listed under: 1 other name
Description: partial 16S ribosomal RNA
Rfam family: Bacterial small subunit ribosomal RNA
Source: RNAcentral